This 72-nucleotide transfer RNA is filed under the name Camelus bactrianus (Bactrian camel). It matches the Rfam family "tRNA". Rfam says of the family: Transfer RNA (tRNA) molecules are approximately 80 nucleotides in length. Their secondary structure includes four short double-helical elements and three loops (D, anti-codon, and T loops). Lineage: Eukaryota; Metazoa; Chordata; Mammalia; Artiodactyla; Camelidae. RNAcentral also lists the same sequence under 2 other names. The record is from Rfam by way of RNAcentral.
GUGGGUAUAGCUCAGUGGUAGAGCGCAUGCUUAGCAUGCACAAGGUCCUUUGUUCAAUCCUCAGUACCUCCA